GGGACUGUAGCUCAGUUGGUAGAGUGCCUGCCUACCAUGCAUGAAGCCCUGAGUUCAAUCCCAGCACCA
This 69-nucleotide transfer RNA is filed under the name Neotoma lepida (desert woodrat). It matches the Rfam family "tRNA". From Rfam's summary of the family: Transfer RNA (tRNA) molecules are approximately 80 nucleotides in length. Their secondary structure includes four short double-helical elements and three loops (D, anti-codon, and T loops). Further hydrogen bonds mediate the characteristic L-shaped molecular structure. tRNAs have two regions of fundamental functional importance: the anti-codon, which is responsible for specific mRNA codon recognition, and the 3' end, to which the tRNAs corresponding amino acid is attached (by aminoacyl-tRNA synthetases). tRNAs cope with the degeneracy of the genetic code in two manners: having more than one tRNA (with a specific anti-codon) for a particular amino acid; and 'wobble' base-pairing, i.e. permitting non-standard base-pairing at the 3rd anti-codon position. Lineage: Eukaryota; Metazoa; Chordata; Mammalia; Rodentia; Cricetidae. The record is from Rfam by way of RNAcentral.